AGGAUGCAAGUGUUAUCCGGAAUCACUGGGCGUAAAGCGUCUGUAGGUGGUUUGAUAAGUCAACUGUUAAAUCUUGAGGCUCAACUUCAAAAUCGCAGUCGAAACUAUUAGACUAGAGUAUAGUAGAGGUAAAGGGAAUUUCCAGUGGAGCGGUGAAAUGCGUAGAUAUUGGAAAGAACACCGAUGGCGAAAGCACUUUA
This 200-nucleotide ribosomal RNA is filed under the name uncultured eukaryote. RNAcentral describes it as "partial 18S ribosomal RNA". It matches the Rfam family "Bacterial small subunit ribosomal RNA", at positions 529 to 728 of the family's 1533-position model. The record is from RNAcentral.